GACGAACGCUGGCGGCGUGCUUAACACAUGCAAGUCGAGCGGGUAAGGCCCUUUCGGGGGUACACGAGCGGCGAACGGGUGAGUAACACGUGGGUGACCUGCCCUCAGCUCUGGGAUAAGCCUGGGAAACCGGGUCUAAUACUGGAUAUGACUCCAUGACGCAUGUUGUGGGGUGGAAAGCCUUGUGCGGCUGAGGAUGGGCCCGCGGCCUAUCAGCUUGUUGGUGGGGUGANGGCCUACCAAGGCGACGACGGGUAGCCGGCCUGAGAGGGCGACCGGCACACUGGGACUGA
Molecule: ribosomal RNA, 293 nt
Filed under: uncultured bacterium
Lineage: Bacteria
Description: partial 16S ribosomal RNA
Rfam family: Bacterial small subunit ribosomal RNA
Source: RNAcentral